UUUUUGGGCUGAUUCCUUAAGAUAGAAAAAGGCUGAAAACACAAUAAGAACAGAAAAUAGAUUAGAUAAUGAUUCAGCACAAGUAGAAAUAAAGAAAGAAUUGACAGUAAGAAAUUAAAAGAUAAGUCCUAAAAAGCCUUGAAAUCUCGAAAGAUCUCACAACUCCCUUCAAACGGCUCUAAUCUCCCCUCCAAAGAAUAUCAAUGGCAAGAAGAAGGUUGAAGAUGGCUCCCACAAUCACAAGAUUGUUAAAACAACUUCUAAAGAAAACUCAAGAGAAAAAUCUUGGAGAAAACUCAAAGAAAAUUCUACUCUCAACAAAUCUGAAAUUUUAAUAAUAAUGAUAAGUGUUUAACAAGGUGGACAGCCAUGCCUUUAAAUAGGCCUUAUAACUAGUCCUAAUCUAAUUAGAAAACUAAAAUAAAAAAAACUCCUAAUUAUUUUAAUAUGGAAAUUCGGUCAAAGGUCAUUUUAUCUGGGACUCUUGGACUGAAUAUUGACAUAAAAAUUUAAACUAAGUAAAUAAAUAAAUAAAUAAAUAAAAAUAAAAAUAAAACUUUACAACUUGGGCCACUUUGACAAUUUGGCCUGAUUUUCAACUAAGUAUGGAUGGAUUUCUUGAUUGGGCUGGGAAUUUGCUUAUUGGGCCUCGCCUUCAAGAAUUUGGGCUUUUGUGACUUGUAUCAUUCCCCCCUUCCUCAAAAAGAUUCGUCCUCGAAUCUGAAAAAUCAAAUGAACUCGACUUUCCUCUAUCGAACGGGACUAAUGGCAAUUGAGUCCACUGAAAAGAAUAGCCAUGAGAUAGUAAAUAGCAACGGAAACAAGCUUGUAGUCCAAUCAUAAGCAUAACAGAACAGGUAUAACGUAUGUGAAUGGACAGAUUCAGAUUACCAUGCAAACAAUCUAAUUUACUCACAACUGCCUCGUCAAAUAUUUGAAACAAAGAUGGACAUGUUUUAAGGCAUUCAGUCGUCUCACAUUGUUCCCACAAACCAUGAAUAAAUUGCGAGUAAUAAAUCAAAUGGUAAACAUAAUCGUCACAAGUAGGUAUUUGAAAAGAUUCACAUGGUUCACAGAGUUGCAUAAUCAUACCAUGCAUUAAUCGACGGUCUAUAGAUUCACUCACACAUGCAUUAUCAAAAACAAGAAUCUUUUUAUCAACCAUCAAAACAGAUAGAUCAUCAAUAAAUAAAAUAGGACAGUCAAGCACGUUUCGAUCUAAGUGUUCAUCAACACAAUCUUUAUCACUAUCCGAGGAGUACAAAAGUGUUUCAAAGGUUUCAAGCAUCUUACCUCGAUAAGCAGAAGAAUAAGGGUCGAUUUUACCUUUUUCAUUUAAAACAAACCUUCGCUCAUCGGGGGCAUAAUGUAGUCGAAUCUCCGUUGUUGAGUUAACCUUUGUCAAAUGGAACUCAAACUUCAUGUACAACCACAUAAACUGUUUAAGGCACGAAUAUAAAUUGAAAACAAAUUUGGAAAAUUUCGUUACCUUAUUCUCCAAAACAGAUUUGGACAAAUUCGAGGAUUUUACACAAGGUAAAUCAAGAGAAUAACAAAUCACGCUUCUUUUCGUAAUGACUUUAUCAACCACAAUCGAAGAGUAACAAUUAAUCGGAUCAAAAUGAGGGGAUCUUUUAAGAACUAAGUCACCAAAAUUUUUAUCAAUAAUUUUCAAAUCUGCACUGGACUCGGUUUCUAAAAUUUCCUUACCUCGCUUACCUUCGGGAUCAUGUAGUGUGAUUUCAUCUUUGCCUAAGUUGAUCGUAUGAAAGCGUCUUUCAUUUGAGAGGUAUUGAAGUUGAAAGUUAUCUUUCGAUCUUUCGGGAACCUGAAAAGUAGCAACACAAGAAAAAUUCAUAUCUUGGUUAGUGGAAACAUUCCUCACUACCCUUUCCACGUCUUUUUCCUUUGUUUCUUUUUCUAAUUCAUUUUCUCUUCUUUCUUCAAUUUCUUUUUCACUCUCAAUCUCUUUUUGCUCUUUUUCAUUCUCUUUUUCUUUUUCCUCACUUGUUUUAACAGAAUUUUUCAGUUUGAUUUGGUCCUCAUGGACUUGUUCCGGAGUGAGCGGCACUAAGGUGAGUUUCUUUCCUUGAUGCUUGAAAGAAUACCUAUUGGUACGACCAUCGUGAGUGACUUUUCGAUCCAGUUGCCAUGGUUCUCCUAGCAACAAAUGGCAGGCUUGAAUAGGCAUUACGUCGCACACAACUUCGUCUUGAUACUUACCGAUAGAAAAGGCGAUGCGCACUUGUUGAGUGACCCUAAAUUGGCCUUUAUUGCUAAGCCCUUGUAGUUGAUAAGGUUGUGGAUGCUUGGUAGUGGUUAAGCAAAGCCUUUCCACCAUCGUCGUGCUGGCUAUGUUCGAGCAACUUUCACCAUCAAUAAUAACUCUACAAAGCUUACCUUGUACAUGGCAGCGAGUAUGAAAGAGAUGUUCUCGUUGCUGGUCGCUCUUUGGUUUUGCCAAAGAUGAUUGUCCACGAUCAUGAAAAUCAUCAUCCAUUCUAGGGACACGUUGAGGGCUGCACCUAUAGGGCUGGUUAUCCCUAUCUUCCUUAAUUGGAUCUCGAUAUUGAUGUUUUUGAUUCACUCAUACCUCAUUCAAAGUAGUAUCCAAUGCUUGAAGUGUAGCAUUUAUUUGUGUGAUUGCAGUAGUAUGUUCGUCUAACUGUUGUUGGACUUUCAUAAGUGCAUCAUUAUUAUCACCUUUAGACAUCUUCAAAACCUGUAAAAAAUAAACACUCAACACUCAAAAAUAAAAGUUAGCAAACCUCACCAUUAAUCACUCAAAAAGAAAAAUCAAAUUCUCAAUGAGGUCGAAUUCAAUCUUGUGAGUUCUUUAUCAGAGUUUAUAUCAACCAAUUAGAGAGUGUGAACCAAACUACCAAAGAAUCCUAAUUUGCACUAGGAUGCCAAAAACUGACGAGACACCAAUUGAUUCGUGUUGCACCGAGGAAGAAGUUGUGCACACGUUUAAAUCCUACUAACACAAAAAACAAGAAGGUGUUAGAUAACGUAAAGGAAGAAUAAAGGUAAACAAAUGAAAACCUACAGCUAAGAAUCAAUAAAAAUUGCUGAAAACAGAAAACCCGAAAAACUGCGGAGUAACUUGACAACUUCGUUCGAGGUGUUCCCGAUCUCCAAAAAUCACGAAAUUAAAUCUGGAGUGUCCUUAUAUAUUGAAUUUUUGAUCUGGAAAUUUUGGGCACCAAAUUCAACCCGCUGAAUCUUUUUUUAAAUUUUUAUUGAAUUUCGUAUUUUUUGAUUUUUUUGACUUUUUUGACUGAUUUUUUUGUGGGAAUAAUUUUUUUAUAUUCAAUCACAGUGCCAAAAACAUGUAUGUAAAAUUUCAGAUCAAUCGGACAACGUUUACCCACUCAAAUGAAUUUUUUUUGAACAAUUUUUCUGGGUAAAACUGCUGUUUAUGCUUUAAAAAAUAGAGAUCAGUUUAGAAAUCAACCAAGAACACCCAAAACGCCCAAAAUAUGAUACCAAAUGAUACGGGGUUGCGCGCGGACCAAGAUCGAGUUGCCAAGUCACGAGAAACUCCUACGAAAACCCUAAACAAUUAGAUCUGAAAUGAAACAGAAAAUUAAAAGAUUAGAUUUUUGAAUUUUCAGAUCUGAAAUAAAAUCCCCAAAUCAGCAAAGAAUCAAAUUGAGAAUAGAAAUAAGUGUUAGGGUUCUUGAAACCCUCAAGGAGAUUGUGAUUCUGCCCAAUUGAACACCAAGAUAGUUUUCCCCAAAUUUCGACAAUCUAAUUUCACCCAAAAAGAGUAUGGAAAAACCCUAGAAAUUGGGGAUUUUUGGGCUGAUUCCUUAAGAUAGAAAAAGGCUGAAAACACAAUAAGAACAGAAAAUAGAUUAGAUAAUGAUUCAGCACAAGUAGAAAUAAAGAAAGAAUUGACAGUAAGAAAUUAAAAGAUAAGUCCUAAGAAGCCUUGAAAUCUCGAAAGAUCUCACAACUCCCUUCAAACGGCUCUAAUCUCCCCUCCAAAGAAUAUCAAUGGCAAGAAGAAGGUUGAAGAUGGCUCCCACAAUCACAAGAUUGUUAAAACAACUUCUAAAGAAAACUCAAGAGAAAAAUCUUGGAGAAAACUCAAAGAAAAUUCUGCUCUCAACAAAUCUGAAAUUUUAAUAAUAAUGAUAAGUGUUUAACAAGGUGGACAGCCAUGCCUUUAAAUAGGCCUUAUAACUAGUCCUAAUCUAAUUAGAAAACUAAAAUAAAAAAAAACUCCUAAUUAUUUUAAUAUGAAAAUUCGGUCAAAGGUCAUUUUAUCUGGG
Molecule: long non-coding RNA, 4280 nt
Filed under: Gossypium barbadense (sea-island cotton)
Lineage: Eukaryota; Viridiplantae; Streptophyta; Magnoliopsida; Malvales; Malvaceae
Description: long non-coding RNA (GBAR_LNC021582)
Source: RNAcentral